UGUGUUUCGACACACUAUCAUUAACUGAAUCCAUAGGUUAAUGAGGCGAACCGGGGGAACUGAAACAUCUAAGUACCCCGAGGAAAAGAAAUCAACCGAGAUUCCCCCAGUAGCGGCGAGCGAACGGGGAGCAGCCCAGAGCCUGAAUCAGUAUGUGUGUUAGUGGAAGCGUCUGGAAAGGCGCGCGAUACAGGGUGACAGCCCCGUACACAAAAAUGCACAUGCUGUGAGCUCGAUGAGUAGGGCGGGACACGUGGUAUCCUGUCUGAAUAUGGGGGGACCAUCCUCCAAGGCUAAAUACUCCUGACUGACCGAUAGUGAACCAGUACCGUGAGGGAAAGGCGAAAAGAACCCCGGCGAGGGGAGUGAAAAAGAACCUGAAACCGUGUACGUACAAGCAGUGGGAGCACGCUUAGGCGUGUGACUGCGUACCUUUUGUAUAAUGGGUCAGCGACUUAUAUUCUGUAGCAAGGUUAACCGAAUAGGGGAGCCGAAGGGAAACCGAGUCUUAACUGGGCGUUAAGUUGCAGGGUAUAGACCCGAAACCCGGUGAUCUAGCCAUGGGCAGGUUGAAGGUUGGGUAACACUAACUGGAGGACCGAACCGACUAAUGUUGAAAAAUUAGCGGAUGACUUGUGGCUGGGGGUGAAAGGCCAAUCAAACCGGGAGAUAGCUGGUUCUCCCCGAAAGCUAUUUAGGUAGCGCCUCGUGAAUUCAUCUCCGGGGGUAGAGCACUGUUUCGGCAAGGGGGUCAUCCCGACUUACCAACCCGAUGCAAACUGCGAAUACCGGAGAAUGUUAUCACGGGAGACACACGGCGGGUGCUAACGUCCGUCGUGAAGAGGGAAACAACCCAGACCGCCAGCUAAGGUCCCAAAGUCAUGGUUAAGUGGGAAACGAUGUGGGAAGGCCCAGACAGCCAGGAUGUUGGCUUAGAAGCAGCCAUCAUUUAAAGAAAGCGUAAUAGCUCACUGGUCGAGUCGGCCUGCGCGGAAGAUGUAACGGGGCUAAACCAUGCAC
RNAcentral lists this ribosomal RNA (1020 nucleotides) under Escherichia coli. RNAcentral describes it as "partial 23S ribosomal RNA". It matches the Rfam family "Bacterial large subunit ribosomal RNA", at positions 134 to 1194 of the family's 2925-position model. Lineage: Bacteria; Pseudomonadati; Pseudomonadota; Gammaproteobacteria; Enterobacterales; Enterobacteriaceae. The record is from RNAcentral.